UUGGAGCCUCCCGAGGGGCCUCGCGAGAAACAGAUGUGUACUGUAUCUUCCCGGAUUUGAUGGCUGCUGGGGUCGAGGGGGUCGCUGUGGUUCCUGUUUAUUUCCUCUGGCAGUGGUUUUCUAAUUUAAGCACCUCUGUCUCCUGGCUACAGUAGCCUGCUGUGAUGCAGAGUUGGGGGGGGGGGAGGCGGAAGAAAAAGGAGGAUGGUGGUGGCAUGCCCCGUAGCUACUAAGCCUGGUGCCUAAAAAGGGCAUGCUGGGUUUUAAUCGGUACACCUCUGCGUGCACCCUCCCAGGCUGACUUUACUCUUUGUGUUUUCUUUGUAGAGGCAUCUGCUGUGCAGAAGCAACACAGAGUGAAGGUCUUUUCUUUUGUUACCGGCACUGAAAGGUGAUGCAGGAGUUGACCAUAUGUAAAGAUAUCUGCAUUGUGUUGUCCAUACACUGCUGCUAAUUGGAACCAUCAGCAUGCUGUUAAAGUAAUAAGGAACUGCUGUGAUUGUUCCAUUCACUUCAUUCAUGUACCUCCUUUUCUUUUUGGCACAGAUAGGCAUAAAUUAUUCCCAUGUCCCCUAGUAAAACCAAUGUGGUGGCCUGAGCAACAAAUGUAUUUGGUUUCUCUGUGAACACCAGAGGUUUUUGCUCUGAUAUUAUUUUACAUUUUUUAAAUUUUCCAGACUUCUGCCUUGUUGUAAAGCAUUGGACAGCUUUGGAUUCUCAGAGCUAUGUAUGCUUUUUUCAAUUACAUGCGUUUUGCUAGAUUUGUGAUUCAAACCUAUAAUGUUUCAGUGGCGUCAAAUCAACACUAGUAGUGUAUCAGACACAUGAAAAUGUAAUAUUUCUGAAGAAAAAGGAAUCUGAGGAUGAUACACAAGAGACAUUUUUCACUUAUAAAAAUUACAUGGACUAUUACUGGUUUGAGGAUGAAAAGUUGGUAUAUGCAAAUACAAUAAAAUAUGCAUCUCUUUCAAA
This is a long non-coding RNA of Anolis carolinensis (green anole), 972 nucleotides long. RefSeq lists it as uncharacterized. The transcript has 2 exons. The record is from RefSeq and is a predicted model, not a curated record. NCBI's taxonomy places the organism in Eukaryota, Metazoa, Chordata, Lepidosauria, Squamata, Anolidae.